AGCAGCCGCGGUAAUUCCAGCUCCAAUAGCGUAUAUUAAAGUUGUUGCAGUUAAAAAGCUCGUAGUUGAAUUUCGGGGUCAGUAGAUUGGUCAUGCCAUUGGUAUGCACUGGUCUUACUGGCUCCUCCUUCCUGAUGAACCGUAAUGCCAUUAAUUUGGUGUUGCGGGGAGACUGGACUGUUACUUUGAAAAAAUUAGAGUGUUUAAAGCAGGCUAACGCUUGAAUACAUUAGCAUGGAAUAAUGAAAUAGGACGUUCGAUCUUAUUUGUUGGCUUCUAAGAUUGACGUAAUGAUUAAUAGGGAUAGUUGGGGGCAUUAGUAUUCAAUUGUCAGAGGUGAAAUUCUUGGAUUUAUUGAAGACUAACUACUGCGAAAGCAUUUGCCAAGGAUGUUUCAUUAAUCAAGAACGAAAGUUAGGGAUCGAAGACGAUCAGA
Molecule: ribosomal RNA, 436 nt
Filed under: uncultured Glomus
Lineage: Eukaryota; Fungi; Glomeromycota; Glomeromycetes; Glomerales; Glomeraceae
Description: SSU rRNA
Rfam family: Eukaryotic small subunit ribosomal RNA
Source: RNAcentral